This is a long non-coding RNA of Anguilla rostrata (American eel), 405 nucleotides long. RefSeq lists it as uncharacterized. The record is from RefSeq and is a predicted model, not a curated record. The transcript is spliced from 2 exons. Lineage: Eukaryota; Metazoa; Chordata; Actinopteri; Anguilliformes; Anguillidae.
UCGCCCUGCGCUUCCACUUUCGCGGCAUCCCGACAUUGGCUCCGGAGAACCGCAUCUUUCCAUUCUGCCAACCGAAACAACAUUUCCUUUGGGAUCUGCGCUCGAGCAGUGGCCACAUCAGAGACGGCGGGCUCCUCCACUUCAAAACCCCUCUCACAGGCGUUAAUCACCUGAGCAGUUGUCCUACCAUUACUACAGGAAGCCAGCAGGCCCGGUUCCUUUAUUGAUAGAGUUCACAUACUGCCUAGACUGCGGGCAAUGGUGUGUAAAUGGAGUGCAUGUUGAGUGAAUUAACUGCCUGCGUGACACUUUCUCAAGAACUUUCACUUGCCUUUCCGCUAGUGGAGGCAGGCAUAGCUUUUUCAUUUAAAAAUGAAAGCAGCAUUCAAUAAAUGGAUCAGGGCU